GAAUACGCCACGGCCUUCAGCCGGCAUCUCCAGCCCAAGGGAUCCAACCGAGUGGAUCCGGGCUCGAGUACCUCAAGUUUUACCCCGGCACUAUGAGGUCGUCUAGUUUUGGUAGCUUUUCUAACGGAAUAUGUUUCUGUGAAGCACGCAAGCUGCACUUUCAAGCCUUUUGGUUGGCUUUGGAGAAGGUGCUCUGGAGCCUGAUCUGCUACUGCGACUUGGGACUGGCACUGUCCUCGGCCACGAGAGGAACUUGUCCAUCUUCCACGGAAGCCAAUCUUUCUCUCCGUGGUACCUAGUCAGUCAAGUCGGUGAAGUAAAUCACUGGUGUUGUAACUUUCGGAGCUGGAACAGCCUUUACGUGCCGGGACGUGUAGUCAAGUGAGCAUCGCAAGCUCGAUAUCUCUUCGGCGUGGCAAAAUGGCAAAGUUAAGCUAGUUGGCUCGCAGUAAUUGAUUUAAUUCCAGCAUGCGGAACACAAAAGGCAAAAGUAAUCUUCUUUAUCAACUGCAAAAGCUUACGCA
Long non-coding RNA from Selaginella moellendorffii, 524 nucleotides. RefSeq lists it as uncharacterized. The record is from RefSeq and is a predicted model, not a curated record. Lineage: Eukaryota; Viridiplantae; Streptophyta; Lycopodiopsida; Selaginellales; Selaginellaceae. The transcript is spliced from 2 exons.